CUACGGGCUGCACCAGUGAGGAAUAUUGCACAAUGGGGGGAACCCUGAUGCAGCAACGCCGCGUGGAGGAUGACGCAUUUCGGUGUGUAAACUCCUUUUAUAUGUCAAGAAAAUGACGGUAGCAUAUGAAUAAGCACCGGCUAACUCCGUGCCAGCAGCCGCGGUAAUUCGGAGGGUGCAAGCGUUACUCGGAAUCACUGGGCGUAAAGGACGCGUAGGCGGGUUGGAAAGUCAGGUGUGAAAUCCUACAGCUUAACUGUAGAACUGCACUUGAAACUUCUAAUCUAGAGUAUGGGAGGGGGAGAUGGAAUUAGUGGUGUAGGGGUAAAAUCCGUAGAUAUCACUAGGAAUACCUAAAGCGAAGGCGAUCUCCUGGAACAUUACUGACGCUAAGGCGUGAAAGCGUGGGGAGCAAACAGGAUUAGAUACCUGGUAGUC
This 438-nucleotide ribosomal RNA is filed under the name uncultured bacterium. RNAcentral describes it as "partial 16S ribosomal RNA". It matches the Rfam family "Bacterial small subunit ribosomal RNA", at positions 339 to 795 of the family's 1533-position model. The record is from RNAcentral.